AUUGAACGCUGGCGGCAGGCUUAACACAUGCAAGUCGAGCGGGGUGAUGGUGCUUGCACUAUCACUUAGCGGCGGACGGGUGAGUAAUGCUUAGGAAUCUGCCAAUUAGUGGGGGACAACAUCUCGAAAGGGAUGCUAAUACCGCAUACGUCCUACGGGAGAAAGCAGGGGAUCACUUGUGACCUUGCGCUAAUAGAUGAGCCUAAGUCGGAUUAGCUAGUGGGUGGGGUAAAGGCCUACCAAGGCGACGAUCUGUAGCGGGUCUGAGAGGAUGAUCGGCCACACUGGAACUGAGACACGGCCCAGAGUCCUACGGGAGGCAGCAGUGGGGAAUAUUGGACAAUGGGGGGAACCCUGAUCCAGCCAUGCCGCGUGUGUGAAGAAGGCCUUAUGGUCGUAAAGCACUUUAAGCGAGGAGGAGGCUCUUUUGGUUAAUACCCAAGAUGAGUGGACGUUACUCGCAGAAUAAGCACCGGCUAACUCUGUGCCAGCCGCCGCGGUAA
This 503-nucleotide ribosomal RNA is filed under the name uncultured bacterium. RNAcentral describes it as "partial 16S ribosomal RNA". It matches the Rfam family "Bacterial small subunit ribosomal RNA", at positions 30 to 523 of the family's 1533-position model. The record is from RNAcentral.